GGGCAAUUAGCUCAAUGGUAGAGCGCUUGCAUCACAAGCAAGAGGUCGCAGGUUCAAAUCCUGCAUUGCCCA
This 72-nucleotide transfer RNA is filed under the name Candidatus Parcubacteria bacterium. Its description in RNAcentral is "tRNA-Val". It matches the Rfam family "tRNA". Rfam says of the family: Transfer RNA (tRNA) molecules are approximately 80 nucleotides in length. The record is from RNAcentral. Lineage: Bacteria; Candidatus Parcubacteria.